AACAAAAUAUUUCUAACGUGGCUUCACUUCUUCCGAGGUUUGCGCAAAACGAUCCACGCUAGCCCAGUAAAGGUUUAUAUGAGAACAAACCGGCUACGUAUUUGUCCCAUGCGAUGUUUGCAGGAAAUGGCUCCACAUACUGCGCGCUGUAUUUUUAAUGGUAUUAAUGUGCCAAUUCUCAAACAAACAAUUAGCAUGGUUCAUUUGUUGAGCAUUGUUGGCUGCCUGGAGCUCGGCAGCACUUUCCGCACUCCCUGAUCACAUUAAUCAAACUGUAGCUUACACAUAAAAAAAAAGCAUCUGAAAACCAUUUUGUGAUUAGGUAGGAAUAAGCUCUUUAAUAAAAGCCAUCGGAAUCAGCACUUCCAGCCCGUGGGGACUGUUAGAAAGCAGAAGCUGCCAUAUCUGAACGGACGGUAAUCUCACAGCUGGGGACCCGGUGGGCAAUUAUUGGGAGGAAAGCAGCAUAUCCACGCGCAGUUUAGAGAACCUGAGCUGGAUCUAGUAAUUACGUCUCAAAAUCGCAAGCCAUUGAUCUCUCUAAAUGUGUUGUUUGCCAGCGGAAUAAACGAGCAGAUGAGGAUCGUUUUGGUCGUCCGCGCGUCGAAGUCACGUCACCGAUCGUGGGCGGGUGACAAAUCUCACCUCGGGUGGAAAUAAACUACCUGAAUGCCCUUUCAAUGUAGUUGCCCCCCUCGCUCGCUGGGCUGUCUCUUCAAUUAAGAGAGAAUUCACUACAGCCGAGCAGCAAAGGCUUCGUCUUAACUGGGUCACAGUAAAUCCAGUCAUAUGGUCCAGGCACAUCGUGUCUUUUGCGGGUGCGCCGAGUAAUGCCACUGAGCUUUAAAUCGGCAGCGCACUCACUGAGUCACACAUGGAGGCAGGCCAAGUCAGGUUCAGAUAACCUGAGGAAGGGCACUGAGAUGUAUCCUAGUGAGGAAAUUGUCCUCUCUCAGGUGGAAAGCUAGCCCAAGAAGUUUCAAAAGAUGAAACACACCACUGGAUUUGCUGCAAACGCUGGAGAUUCGACCUAACAACUUCCAGCAUCCAGAGCUUCCAAAGUUCGUGAAACAAACGUGUACUUGGUGACUUGUGUUUCUUCUUCCUCUUACAUUUCUCUGUUUCCUGAGAAGUGGAAGCCUCGUCCGAACACCACGCAGCAGAAACUGAAUCGAUUUUCCCCGAAGUGUGUCCGUGGCUUUUUCGGACUAUGGAGCAACCCGUGACAGUGCCAUCCAUCCAUCUUUGCCUUUUUCCGACUCAGUAGCAACCUGUGACAGUGCCAUCCAUCCAUCCAUCCAUCCAUCCAUCCAUAUUUUCCAGCAGUGAUCCCAUUCAGGCUCACAGAGACCUAGCUGCUUCCUAACCCAGGUGAACUGGGGGAAAGACAGAGACACGAGGAAAGAAAAGAAACAGACAACCAUCCAUAUUGUCAGAUUCCAUCAGUCGCCCGCAGCUCGUUGGAAAUGUGACUGCUCGCUGGUGCCGAGAGACCGCCGCGCUCGUGUUCUGUCCUCUCAUCGCCGACCACAAUUUCAAUUUACUUUACAAUUAUCUUAUUAUUAACGGUUAGCUGGCGCCAGCUUAUAGCCCUCGUCGCUUCUCAACCACAACGAAGCCUUUUAGAUUGACCGGUCUGCUUUGCGCAAGAAUGUGGAUGUUGGAAUUUGACCUUAAAUAACAGCAGAAAGCGGCUAUACUGCUGUUUCAUUGUAACGGAGUAGCCAGCACGGCUGUCACUGCCGCAAAUCUUGACAGCUGCGAGUGUGACGGAGUUAAAAAUUGCUCUUGUUAAAAUUUAAAAUGAAUAAAAUAGCAAUUAGGUUAUAUGAUUUCUUUAUACAAGGCGGUGGAAUAUUUGUUAAAGUGUGUCCUGAAUUUAUUUUUCUGUUGAAGGGCUUUGUAUUUAAAUGUGUUUUAUUCAUUUGUGAAAAGAAAUACUUUUGUCUGUCAUUUUAUUGUUGUAACCAGUGUUUGAGAAGGACAGUGACGUGUUGAGGAGACGCUGGAGAGAGAAAAAAAAAAGAUAGAUGAAGUGCAAGAACUAGUAGUUGUUUGAGGAAGAGACAAAUUAAUGGUGGAUAUUUAUCAACACUUUCAAGGACUGUUGCCAGUUGAAUUGUGAUAAUGUGUGGUGGAGUUAGCCGCUGAUAAAGAGGCUAAGUGGAUGCACAGAACUUUGCUAGGAUGCUAGCGACAAGCUAACGCCAGCUAGCGAGGCCUCUGUUGGACCACGUGGAAGAAGACGAGGACGCCAGCGAUGAGCAAAUGCUAACGAGGCCCGCAUUGGAGCACAAGGAAAAAGCUUUCGCAACCGAUUGGACCCUUAGGACUUGGAUGAGGCUGGACAAUUGGACACAACCCUCGACUUUCUUCAUUCCCGCCGUUGGGAACAAAGACAUUGGGGUUUGAAUUUCAUUUGUUUUGCCGGCAAUGUUCAUAUUUGUCUCGGCCCUUAUAGUAGAUUAGCUUAGUUCAGCUAAUGUGUGCAUCUGUUAUGUUGACUUUGUUUAUUUGACUGUUUGUUUUACCAUUAAGUUAAUUGAUUAGUUCCUAAUUUAGAUUGAGGAAAGAACUCAGGUUAGCCACCUCUUGUCAAAGUAUUAUAUACUUGAGAGGCGCUACACGUGCACAAGGUUUUACUAAAAUUUCUUAAAAGAGGACCUGAGGACUACUAUGCUGUUUUUCAUCACUUAUUGAUCUUUUGUUCUCUUAUUUUGUUAAAAUCCAGGCUGCAGAUAAAUUACACCGCCAGGAAAAAAAAAAUGGUCAUAACAGUGUUAGUCCAAGUCAAUUACGCAGGAGGAGGCUGUCCAGUUGGAAAGCAAUAACAAUGAGGACUCAAUUUACAUGAUUAUGCAAAACAGAAAUUAUUAGUUGGAAAACUGCAUUAAACCAGAUUUGGAUUGUUGUGUCGCACCACAACGGUCCACUUGUCACAAUCUAGAACGUUUGCCACAGAUCUGGAUUCAGUCCUCAACGGGUUAAUGAGUAAGGUUUUUACCGAUUUGUUCUUUAAUUCGUUCUGAUCUGAACAAAUUUUAGUAUAUAAGCAGGAAAUGUGCUUCAUUUAUCACGAUCUAAGUGAUUAAAGCAAUGCUUUUUAACGGCACUGUAAUUUGUCCCCGCCGGUGUCGUUU
Long non-coding RNA from Syngnathoides biaculeatus (alligator pipefish), 3140 nucleotides. RefSeq lists it as uncharacterized. Lineage: Eukaryota; Metazoa; Chordata; Actinopteri; Syngnathiformes; Syngnathidae. The transcript is spliced from 3 exons. The record is from RefSeq and is a predicted model, not a curated record.